GUGCCAGCCGCCGCGGUAAUACUGGCAGCUCGAGUGAUGUCCAAUAUUAUUGGGCCUAAAGCGUCCGUAGCUGGCCGCGCAAGUCCGUCGGGAAAUCCACCUGCCCAACGAGUGGGCGUCCGACGGAAACUGCACAGCUUGGGACCGGAAGGCUCGAAGGGUACGUUCGGGAUAGGAGUGAAAUCCUAUAAUCCCGCACGGACCACCGAUGGCGAAAGCACUUCGAGAAAACGGAUCCGACAGUGAGGGACGAAAGCCAGGGUCUCCAACCGGAUUAGAAACCCUUGUA
Molecule: ribosomal RNA, 289 nt
Filed under: uncultured bacterium
Lineage: Bacteria
Description: partial 16S ribosomal RNA
Rfam family: Archaeal small subunit ribosomal RNA
Source: RNAcentral